RNAcentral lists this unclassified non-coding RNA (378 nucleotides) under plant metagenome. RNAcentral describes it as "partial contains 5.8S ribosomal RNA, internal transcribed spacer 2, and large subunit ribosomal RNA". The stretch from base 1 to 105 matches the Rfam family "5.8S ribosomal RNA", at positions 50 to 154 of the family's 154-position model. The record is from RNAcentral.
GAAAGGAGAGAAGUAAUGUGAAUUGCAGAAUUCAGUGAAUCAUCGAAUCUUUGAACGCACCUUGCGCUCCUUGGUAUUCCUUGGAGCAUGCCUGUUUGAGUAUCAUGAAAUCUUCAAAGUAAAUCUUUUGUUAACUCAAUUGGUUUCUACUUUGGUAUUGGAGGUCUUUGCAGCUUCACACCUGCUCCUCUUUGUUCAUUAGCUGGAUCUCAGUGUUAUGCUUGGUUCCACUCGGCGUGAUAAGUUAUCCAUCGCUGAGGACACUGUAAAAGGUGGCCAAGGUAAAUGCAGAUGAACCGCUUCUAAUAGUCCAUUGACUUGGACAAUACUUUUAUGAUCUGAUCUCAAAUCAGGUAGGACUACCCGCUGAACUUAAGC